AUGAACGCUGGCGGCGUGCCUAAUACAUGCAAGUUGAGCGAACAGACGAGGAGCUUGCUCCUCGGACGUUAGCGGCGGACGGGUGAGUAACACGUGGAUAACCUACCUAUAAGACUGGGAUAACUUCGGGAAACCGGAGCUAAUACCGGAUAAUAUAUUGAACCGCAUGGUUCAAUAGUGAAAGACGGUUUUGCUGUCACUUAUAGAUGGAUCCGCGCCGCAUUAGCUAGUUGGUAAGGUAACGGCUUACCAAGGCAACGAUGCGUAGCCGACCUGAGAGGGUGAUCGGCCACACUGGAACUGAGACACGGUCCAGACUCCUACGGGAGGCAGCAGUAGGGAAGCUUCCGCAAUGGGCGAAAGCCUGACGGAGCAACGCCGCGUGAGUGAUGAAGGUCUUCGGAUCGUAAAACUCUGUUAUUAGGGAAGAACAAAUGUGUAAGUAACUAUGCACGUCUUGACGGUACCUAAUCAGAAAGCCACGGCUAACUACGUG
This 496-nucleotide ribosomal RNA is filed under the name uncultured bacterium. RNAcentral's name for it is "partial 16S ribosomal RNA". It matches the Rfam family "Bacterial small subunit ribosomal RNA", at positions 29 to 507 of the family's 1533-position model. The record is from RNAcentral.